CACAGUAGUUGCGAAUGAACAGCAAAUUGCUCAAAUUGAAUUUGGGGACACCUGGCCCUCAACAUGAAAUCUCUGAAUGCUCCACCAACAAAGGCUCAGGAACAAAACCAUUCUGGAGGGGAUUGUGAAAGUGCCAACAGGGGUGAGAAUCCUGUGGUUCUUGCAGACCUUGUUCACGGUGUCUGCUUUCCAGAGUCAUGCUCCUUGGAACUGGAGUGCAAAGUGGGUGGUA
RNAcentral lists this ribosomal RNA (232 nucleotides) under Hemiselmis rufescens. Its description in RNAcentral is "partial Eukaryotic large subunit ribosomal RNA". It matches the Rfam family "Eukaryotic large subunit ribosomal RNA", at positions 79 to 301 of the family's 3401-position model. Lineage: Eukaryota; Cryptophyceae; Cryptomonadales; Hemiselmidaceae. The record is from RNAcentral.